RNAcentral lists this ribosomal RNA (253 nucleotides) under uncultured bacterium. RNAcentral's name for it is "partial 16S ribosomal RNA". It matches the Rfam family "Bacterial small subunit ribosomal RNA", at positions 524 to 776 of the family's 1533-position model. The record is from RNAcentral.
UACGAAGGGGGCUAGCGUUGAUCGGAAUCACUGGGCGUAAAGCGCACGUAGGCGGCUUUCUAAGUCAGGGGUGAAAUCCUGGAGCUCAACUCCAGAACUGCCUUUGAUACUGGAGAGCUUGAGUCCGGAAGAGGUGAGUGGAACUCCGAGUGUAGAGGUGAAAUUCGUAGAUAUUCGGAAGAACACCAGUGGCGAAGGCGGCUCACUGGUCCGGUACUGACGCUGAUGUGCGAAAGCGUGGGGAGCAAACAGG